Molecule: long non-coding RNA, 3063 nt
Filed under: Panax ginseng (ginseng)
Lineage: Eukaryota; Viridiplantae; Streptophyta; Magnoliopsida; Apiales; Araliaceae
Description: long non-coding RNA (PGIN_LNC007090)
Source: RNAcentral
AUUAAUUGGCCCUUGCAUUCAACAGCUACCACUCAAAACUGGAGUGAUCUAGAAAGCAAACCAAAUAACAUCAAUUACAGUGUCCAAAAGCAUUAGCCAAAUUCAUUUACAAAACCAUGUCUGCAUUACAUAGAAAAAAAUAUGAUGCCACCUAAAGUACCUAGCAUCCUAAGCAUGAUAACUUAUAAGAAAAAACCACUGAAGUUAUCCAUCCACAAUUUUUAAAAAUCCCAAUAAUAAUAACUGUGCAAAUAACAAAAUUAAUUACAGAAAAAUGAAGUGCUCAAUUAUGGAAACAUUAGGAGAAAUUAAAAUUGAAAGGAUUAGAAACAUAAAUUACAUGCCUCCAACUAAAUCUGAACAACAGCCCUUCAACAAAAUCCGUGACUCAAUACAAAAAGAUUUCCCCCUUUCUUACUCCUGUUUCGUCUUUUUGUUGAUGAAUUUCCUUCGCAAAGCGCUAAUUCUUGUCGUGGUAUGCUUCUUCCUUGGGUCCGAUUCAUCAUUUGGGACUAAUUCUUCUUCGUCGUUUGAACGAAUUUGCUUCUUCAUAGGGUCCGAUUCAUGAUGUUCAUCAUAAUGGGGCUGAUGAAUUUGAACCAACACGGAAUGAAUUUAGUUUUUACAUUUGAAUGUAUGAUUACAGAUUUAGGGGAAUAUUAGGGGAUUGUAUUUAGGGCUCAGUUGUUAUUUUAGACGUUUGAGUUUGUCAAGGGUAUUUUGUCAAGGGCAAUAUAGAGCAUUAAAUAGGAUGGACAAGUGUUGAAUUUGUAGAAAGACAGAUGUCAAUUUUGUCAAAAAUACCCAAUAAACCAUUCAUGAUUAAGUUUAAUUGACUAAGUUAUGAAUUGAAAAUAUAAUCCUUCCAUAAAAUUAUAUACAGGGACAUUGAUAGAUCCUAUUUUAUUUUAGAUAAAUGUCCCAUUAGUAUGUUAUUAUGUACUUAAUAGUUCAUUUUCCUCCUAAAAAAUAAAACUCUAACAGUGCCCAUAUUUGGCAACAAAUAAAUGAUUUAAGGUUUUCACUUUUUUUGAACUAAUAUGACAAGUGAAAGCUAAUAAAGAAAAACAUCACAGAUGCAUGUUAGGUCUUCCCACUUGAAUUAUAAAAUUGGUCUUCAUCACACUUCAAUAAGGACAACAAACAGGGAAGAAAAAGUAUCAAAGGCAUAUUAUGGUUGUCUAACCAUACCUUUUUCGAUUGGCCAAAGAGAUUUGUACAAUUACAUAAGUAAUAGUAGAUCAAAAAGACACCAAAUUCUGAUAUGCAGAAAUGGGAUGAAAGAAAGAGAGAGAGAGACAGAGAGAGUAGUGAACAUCCUUAAUCACAAUUAACAUAUAUAUGAUAAUAAAAAUAAUAAUAAUAAGAUGAUACCACAAUGUUAAUCCCAUUAAAAUGCAACAACAAUCAAAAGUAAUAAAGAUUUGAGAUACUGAUAGCAGGCAGACUACUCCCCAUCGAUGUUAUUUUUUUUUGGGCGUGGGGAGGGGGGGGAGAUGAAAAAUGUGGUGGAAAGGUCUCAUUCUCAAAGCAAAGAAUAAUCUGUUUUUUAUUUGUUUUCCAUUAAGCUAUGUCUGACACAAGAUUUGCAUUUGUGAAACAGUUGCUACAUGUCCAAAAAAACAAAACAUAGACUAAGGCACAAGAAAAUCAAAGGAGGGUGUGAUAUCUUCUGCUAGAAACUGAACAACUCUUUACCUGUAACCAUAUACUUAGGAGCUGCAUACCCAUAGGUAUACCUAUUUUUACUCCAUCAUUAAAUGGAAAUGAAAUGGCACCUAAUACACCUAAUUUUGAAAUGUUACUCCAAAUCACAAGAACACACAAGCACUUCAAGAACUGAAAUUUCUAUAUAUCAAGAAUAAACAAAUUAAAAUAACAAAUUUAUACCAACAUAAUGAAUUAAGAAGACUCAGUUCAUAGUUAGUGUAAUCAAAUAAAACAGUAAGUCAUUGGCAAGACUAAAUAGUUCCCAGAUUCCAAAUUGAAAAAUUAGAGCAACCAACAAUUUUUACCUUUUUGGACUAUUGUCUUAACAAUGAAAAGUAGCUAACAAAAACUAUUUUAGAAGUCAAUGCACAUUUACUCUCAGUUACUGUUUCCAGGGUACAAUACAAGCGAUUUCAACAAAAAAUACUUCCCACAAAACCUUUUCCUUGAGACAAACAUCAGAGUAGUCAAAUUUGAAGAAAGAAAACUAUGAUUUCUAAAAGGGCAUGAAAGUAUAUGAUAACAGAAGUCUAAAGACUACAUUUUUCACACAAAUUGAAAAAAAAAUAUACAUUAUAUCCAAAACAUCAUCUACAUACUAUUAAAAUAUAAAUCCAGCAAAUCAAUCAAAAAAGACAGAUGGGUUUAUUUUUCUUACUUAGAAGAAGCUGCAGUUAAUGUUUCAUUGUCCUUGACAGUGACAGAUAAUGCAACUGCUCCAUUUCUACAUUUCCUUUUCAAGAAACCUGGAAAUGCUGUCGUUUUAGCUAAUUUUGAGCCCCUGAACAACACCCCCAGUUCUAUAACAAUCACAAAUAAAUUACCAAACAGUCAAAAUAGAAAAAGGGGCGAAACAGAGCAAGUAAGCAAAUUUACCCGAAUGGACAGGUGGAUGAAUCCGCCUGCGGCCCACCGGAACAGAGAUCGAUCCAAAAAAUGAAGCAAAAGCUUUGUCACCGCCGAAGAAAAAAUCAGAGGGGGAAAGCCCUUUUGAACAGUAAUACUCAUUGCAGGGCUCCAAUGAGCUCAUCAGACCCUGAAUGCUGGAAUAUCCACACCACGACGAGAUUAGAGAACUGGAUAAUCGAGCCCCACCAACACCACAGGCGGGUAGUGGUGUUUACAACCUCAGUUGUUUUUUUAGGUUUUUUACAACCUCAUUUGUUUUUUAGACGAAGGAGUUUGUAAAUUAUUUUGUCAUGUAUUGUAAUUUAGUAUAUAUAUAAUAGAUUUUAGAAAAAUUGAAGGAUAAUGGAGAUCGGAGGGAUCCUCCUAAUCCGAUGAGUGAUAUUUAGCAAGAUUUUUAGAUCCCGAUCCGUUAUCUAACCGAAAAAGGUUUUGGGUAGAUGGAUA